Molecule: long non-coding RNA, 7632 nt
Organism: Nycticebus coucang (slow loris)
Lineage: Eukaryota; Metazoa; Chordata; Mammalia; Primates; Lorisidae
Exons: 3
Source: RefSeq, a predicted model, not a curated record
GAUGUGUUAGUGUACUAAUAUGUGUAAGGACCAAGUUAACUCCAUUUUGUUAAAACUAACUUCAUCUUGUCCCUCAGUCUUCAUUUUGCAGCUGCAUACCAAAGGAGUUAGGCAACCUGCUCCCUUCCCCGCCCCCUGCCCUUGCCCCAUGAUCCGUGCCCUUGCACAAUGUCUGCUCUGAGCAAUAACAGCACUCUCCCACACAGCCAAGGACAAGUGCUCAGUCCCCUAGACCCCCCUAUCAACUCACCCCAGCAGCUCGCCUCACCCCCUCCCUUUUAUUUUCCUUUCUGUACCCUUAAAACCUCCCUCCUUUUCGAGAUUGGGGCUUCUCUGCUCUCCUGCUGUGCCAGGACCAGGAAGCCCGGGCUCAGGCUUGUAAAUAAACAACCUCUUGCUUUUGCAUUGGACUUGGUCCCUGGGUGAUUUAUGUGGGGAAUCCCAUGACUUGGGCACAACAUUUGGGGGCUCGUCCGGGAUAACCCCCCAAAAUCACCAAGUACCUGCUCCAGAGUCGGGACGUGUAAUCCCCGGCAGCAUAGAAGACAGGACGCCCCAUGGAUGGGGAACUGGGACGUGGAUUCCCCAGUCCCUGGUCAAGAAGACCAUGGAGAGGCAAUCCUUCUAGUUGAGAGACAAGGUGGGGCACGACCGCCAGACGGGGUUACACCGUCGUCUCACUUUCAGUUUUGCCUGAGAACCCACAAGGGUAGGCUUCUGUCUUCUGGAGGAAUCUUGGGUAUUAUUUGUUUUGUCUGUGUUUUAUUAUAUUUGGAGGGUGACAUGGGACAGAUGCAGACGACCCCCCCCCUCCCUAACUUUGACUCAUUUCCAGGACUUCAAAGACGAAGCCCAAGAGUACGGCUUUAAUGUGUCCAGAGGUAAAUUUGUAUUUUUUUGCAGGAAUGAAUGGCCAGCGUACCACGUCAGAUGGCCACCAGAGGGCACUUUUCAUCUCCCCAUUAUCUUUUAGGUCAAAGAUAUAGUCUAUUGAUCUAGGACAGGACCUGGACCAGAUUCCAUAUAUAACUGCUUGGCAGGACCUCGUGGAGGACCCGCCAUCGUGGUUAAAACCCCUCCUUCCUCCAUCAGGCAAGGAAGUAGCCAAACUCCUAGCCUUGAAGGAGAAAAAGAAGUCCCCUGAACCCACUCCCCUUCCCUGGUCCUCCAAGAAGGAACUGAUCCAGAAGUGCUCUUCCCCCAUCCCUAUCAACCCUCACCUCGGGAGGCACCUGUUCCUCAGAGUCUGCCAGGCAGCGAGGCCACUCCAGCCCCAGGUCCAGAAGGUAGCCACCGGAGCCCACCUCACACCCACCGUAGAGCCCUGCGCAAUCUGACAGCAGACUCCACAAUGUUGCCUCUCCACACGGGGGGCCCCCCUGAUGGAGUGAACCCCCCAAAUCAGCCAUACCACUAUUGGCCCUUUGCCAGAAAUGAUCUCUAUAACUGGAAAAUGCAGAACCCUAAGUUCUCCGAAAAACCUACUGCCUUGAUUGACCUCUUAGAUUCAAUUCUUUUUACCCACCAGCCUACCUGGGAUGAUUGUCACCAACUGUUACAGGUCCUUUUCACCACUGAGGAAUGGAACCGCAUCUUGGCUGAGGCCAGGAAGGCUGCCGAGGAUGCAGAUGGAAGCCCCACCACCAACCAGGCUCUCAUUGAUGCUGCUUUUCCUCUUACUGGCCCCAGUUGGGACUUUAAUACGGGAACAGGUCAGUAAGACUCCAAGUCUACCGCCAGACUCUAACGAGGGGUCUCCGUAAAGCGGCUAGAAAGCCGACUAAUUUGGCCAAGGUAGGAAAUGUACAGCAGGAAAAGACAGAACCCCUGCAGCUUUCUUAGAAAGAAUUGUAGAGGCAUUCCGCAUGCACACACCCCUAGACCCUGAAGCUGAGGAGAACAGAGCAGCAGUUGUCAUGUUCUUUGUUAAUCAGUCAGCUCCAGACAUUAAGUGCAAGCUGCAGAGAAUAGAUAGACUGGGCGAGAAGUCUUUGCAGUACCUCCUAACAGUUGCUGAAAGAGUCUACAACAACUGUGAGACCCCCGAAGAAAAGCAAACGAAGGCGGCUAAAAGACAGACCCAGGAAUUAGCCAGGAUCCUCCUGGCCUCCAUGGCCAUGACCUUGGAUGAAAGAAACAGGCAGCUGCACUGACUGGCGGCAGGAGGUAAGGAGGGCUCCCCAGGCAGGGAAAGGCUCCACCUCCAGAAGGACCAGUGCACCUAUUGUAAGGAACAUGGACACUGGGCCCAGGAGUGCCCCAAGAAACCACCUCCCAGACCUUCAGGCCCCACCUCAGUGCCAGUCUUAGGACUAGCGGGCUCAAAGGGUAGGGGGGUCAGGGCUCACCUCCCCUCCCCAAGCCCCGGGUAACUCUCAGAGUGGAGGGGACCCCAAUUAAUUUCCUGAUAGAUACCGGAGCCCAGCAUUCAGUGCUGACACAGGACCAUGGCCCUAUGGAUGCCAGGAAAUCAUAGGUCCAGGGGGCCACGGGCAUCAAACAAUAUUCAUGGACUACCUGAAGAACCAUGGAUUUAGGUGUGGGCCAGGUAUCCCACAUAUUCAUGGUUAUCCCAGACUGCCCCUACCCUCUUCUUGGGCGAGACCUCCUAACUAAGGUAGGGGCUCAUAUUAUUUUCUUUUUUUUUUUUUUUUGAGACAGAGUCUCACUUUAUCACCCUCAGUAGAGUGCUAUGGCGUCACACAGCUCACAGCAACCUCCAGCUUCUGGGCUUAGGCGAUUCUCUUGCCUCAGCCUCCCAAGUAGCUGGGACUACAGGCGCCCGCCACAACGCCCAGCUAUUUUAUGUUGCAGUUUGGCUGGGGCUGGGUUUGAACCCACCACCCUUGGUAUAUGGGGCCGGCGCCCUACUCACUGGACCACAGGCGCUGCCCUGGGGCUCAUAUCAUUUUCAAAGACGAAGGACCCCGUGUCACAGACCAGUAUGGGAGUCCCAUACAAAUACUCACCCUACAACUUGAAGAUGAGUACAGACUGCACCAGAAACAGCCUGAGGGCCAUCAGCAGAUAGAUGUCACUGUAUGGCUGAAAACCUACCCACUUACCUGGGCUGAGACUGGAGGAGUGGGGCUAGCUGCCCACUGACAACCAGUCAUCAUAGAGCUCAAGCCAAUGGCUGAAUCCAUACGCGUAUGACAGUAUCCCAUGUCUCAAGAGGUCCAGUGGGACAUCAUGCCUCACAUCCAGAGGCUUUUUAAGACCAGGAUACUAGCGCCCUGUCAAUCUGCAUGGAAUACUCCUCUGUUGCCUUUAAAGAAGCCACUGACUAAUGACAUAGACCAGUCCAGGACCUACGAGAAGUCAACAGGUGGGUACUAGACACCCACCCCACCAUCCCAAACCCUUAUACACUAUUAAGUGCUCUCACCCCUGAUCGAGUAUGGUACACUGUUCUUGACUUAAAAGAUGCCUUCUUCAGCCACCCACUGGCCCCCCAGAGCCAGGCAAUGUUCACCUUUGAGUGGAACGAUGAAGAGCAAGGGAUCCAUGGUCAACUUACCUGGACCCGGAUGCCGCAAGGGUUUAAGAACUCCCCCACCAUCUUUGAUGAAGCCCUACACGAGGACCUGAGUGAGUACCAGCAGCAGCACCCUCACCUGACUCUUUUACAGUAUGUAGAUGACAUUCUGAUCGCAGCAGAGACAGAAGCAGAAUGCCACCAAGGCACCCGGGACUUGUUGACUGCAUUAGGAGCUCUGGGGUACUGGGCCUCUGCCAAGAAGACUCAGAUUUGUCAGCAAACUGUGAGUUAUCUUGGGUACAUCCUUAAGGAUGGGCAGCGGUGGCUGUCCCAGGCAAGAAAAGAAACAGUUCUGAAAAUCUGGGCCCCCACCCCACCACACAGUGAGGGGUGCAGGAGUUCCUUGGGUCAGCCGGGUUCUGCCGUCUGUGGAUUCUGGGGUUCACAGAGAUAGCAAAGCCCCUCUAUCAGGCCACCCGGGACAGCCUGCCUUUCCAGUGGAGCGCAGAACAAGAAAGAGCCUUCCAGGCCCUGAAAUGAGCCUUGCUUUAGGCCCCGGCCCUAGGACUCCCAGAUAUUACCAAGCCCUUUCAUCUGUAUGUAGAUGAGCACAAAGGCAUAGCAAAAGGGGUGCUUGCUCAAUCGCUUGGUCCCUGGACCCGGCCAGUCGCCUACCUGUCAAAGAAACUAGACCCUGUAGCUGCAGGCUGGCCCCCAUGCCUACGCGUCCUUGCAGCUACUGCAUUGCUGGUUAAAGACACAGAUAAAUUAACUUUAGGGCAAGAACUGUUAAUCACAACCCCUCACGCAGUUGAGGGAGUCCUCAAACAGCCACCAGAUCGGUGGGUUAGCAAUGCCCAACUCGCCCACUACCAGGGCCUUCUGCUGAACCCUCCACGAAUCCAAUUCCUACCAAAGACCUCUCUCAAUCCGGCAACCCUACUGCCUAAUCCAGACCUAAACGCCCCCCUCCAUGACUGUAUUGACAUCCUAGCCCAGGUUCACAGGUACGCCAGGACCUUACAGACCAGCCCCUCUCUGACGUGGAGGCCACCUGGGUACACAGAUGGGAGCAGCUUCAUACAAGAUGGAUGCAAGUACGUGGGAGUGGUAGUGGUGUCUGAGACCGAGACUGUAUGGGCAGAGCCCCUCCCAGCUGGAAGUUAGCUCAAAAGGCUGAGCUCAUAGCUCUAACACAAGCCAUGACCCUGGGGAAAGGCCUAAGACUUAACAUCUAUACCGAUAGCUGAUAUGCCUUCGCCACUGCCCACAUACAUGGGGCAAUUUACCAGGAGAGAGGACUCCUUAUGGCAGAGGGAAAGACUAUCAAAAAUAAAAAUGAAAUACUCGACCUCCUAAAAGCCUUAUGGCUUCCCCAGAAACUAGCCAUCAUUCAUUGCCCUGGCCAUCAGUGGGGUGACUCCCCUGUAGCCAGAGGCAACCGGCGGGCCGACCAGGUCACCAGGACUAUAGCCACUUCGGCUAUCCAAGAGCUUCCUAUUACUACAUUGCCAGACCCUGGACCCCAACACUUCCACAAUCCCCAGAGUAUACUUCGGAGGACCUAAAAUGGAUAAAGCAGAUCCCACUAGCCCACUCCCCCGAGAAGUACAACGGAUGAUACGUCACCUGUGAUGGCAAAGCGCUUGUGCCAGCAAAACUAGGACAGGAAAUCCUCCAUAGAAUCCAUUUAUCCACCCACCUAGGGUCAUGCAAAAUGAAAGACUUGUUGUGCCACGCCAAAAUCAAAAUACAAAACCAGAAUACUAAAAUUGACGAAGUCGUAGCUUCAUGCAAAGUAUGUAUUGUGACUAACAGUGUAUCUAGCUCCCUCAAUCCAGGGUCCAGAGAGCGUGGGACAGAGCCAGGUACGUACUGGGAAGUGGACUUUACUGAAGUUAAGCCAGGUAAAUAUGGAUAUAAAUAUCUCCUUGUUUUCAUAGAUACAUUCUCAGGAUGAGUAGAAGCAUUUCCGACCAGAAAUGAGACUGCGCACAUAGUAGCAAAGAAAAUACUAGAAGAUAUAAUGCCUAGGCAUGGAAUUCCUAACCAGAUAAGAUCAGAUAAUAGCUCAGCCUUUACUUCUCAGGUAGUGCAGAGUCUAGCGGAAGCCUUGGGGACUAAUUGGAAAUUGCAUUGUGCCUAUCAACCCCAAAGUUCAGGGCAGGUAGAGCAGAUGAACCGCACUCUAAAACAGACCCUGACUAAAUUAAUCAUGGAGACUGGCAGUGACCGGGUGUCUCUCCUCCCCUUUGCCCUGUACAGGGUGCGAAACUCACCCUACCUUUUAGGAAAAACUCCUUAUGAAAUUCUCUUUGGAAGGCAACACCCUAUGGUCCCUAAGUUGCAUUACAAUGCCCUCACUUCAAAGGGCCUGGAUCUUAAAGCUUGGAAAGAUUAUGCAGUAACUUUACAUUUCUAUCAAAAGGCACAACGAGCUGAUUGGAAGAAACUUACAGCCCUCUGCAGCUCAGGACCUGUCCCUGAACCACACGCUUUCUGGCCUGAAGCCUGGAGACUGGGUGUACGUGAAACGUCACCGACCAGAAACACUGGAGCCCCGGUGGAAGGGCUCAUACACUGUGGUCCUCAUUACUCCCACCACACUCAAGGUUGACAGCAUCACCUCCUGGAUACAUCACACACACGCUCACCUAGCUGACCCGUUCACCAUCAAAGAAGACUCCACUCCCCAGUGGAGACUCUGACGGGACUCUGAUAACCCACUGAAGCUCAAACUGCAGAAAUGCCAAGAUCCCUGAUGCCACCAAACAGAGUCUCACUUUACUGCCCUCGGUAGAAUGCCAUGAUGUCACAGGACUCACAGCAACCUCCAGCCUUUGGGCUUCCGCGAUUCUCCUGCCUCAACCUCCCAAGCAGCUGGGACUACAGGCGCCCACCACAACGCCCUGCUGUUUUCUUGUUGCAGUUUGGCCGGGGCUGGGUUUGAACCCGCCACCCUCGGUAUAUGGGGCCGGCGCCCUACUCACUGACCCACAGGCGCCACCCAACCAGGGCUUUUGUGUCUUAGUGCAGCUAAUCCCCAAGCUGGUCUAUCACUCAGAAGAGGACUUAUAUCAGGCAUACGUGUCAGCUGCAGGCACUUCAAGAACCAAGAGAGAACCAGUCACAGCAAUAACUCUAGCCAUGCUCAUGGAACUAAAUAUAGCAGGAGCAGGCACAGGAAUCUCCUCCUUAGUCCUACAAGACAAGAACUAUGGAGCUGUGCACGCUGCAAUAGACUUAGACAUAGAAAGAAUAGAAAACUCCAUUUCCCACCUUCAAGAGGCCCUAACUUCCCUCUCUGAAGUAGUACUCCAAAAUAGGCGGGGACUAGACUUACUGUUCCUUCAGCAAGGUGGACUAUGCGUAGCCCUAGGAGAAUAAUGCUGUUUUUAUACUGACCACUCAGGAGUAAUCAAACAGUCCAUGGAGUUAGUGAGAGAAGGUCUCUGCAAAAGAAAACUGGAGCAGGAACAGUCUCAGAGCUGGUAUGAAUCUUUGUUCAGCAAGUCACCCUGGCUCACAACUUUAAUUUCAACCGUAGCAGGCCCACUUGUAAUCCUAUUACUGCUAUUAACUUUCGGCCCCUGCAUAAUUAAUAAAUUACUGGCUUUCAUCCGAGCUAGAAUUAAUACUGUUCAAUUAAUGGUCUUACAGGCAUAGUAUACCCCCUUCAGCACUGAAUGCACCAGCAAUGGCAUAGAGCUAGGGCUCGUAAAACACACUGAAGACCCAUGAUUGGAUCUUCUAGGCACAAGAAAAGGGGGGAAUGUAAGGACCAAUUUAACUCCAUUUUGUUAAAACUAACUUCAUCUUGUCCCUCAGCCUUCAUUUUGCAGCUGCAUACCAAAGGUGUUAGGCAAACUGCUCCCUCCCCCCCGCCCCCCCUUGCCCCAUGAUCUGCACCCUUGCACAACAUCUGCUCCGAGCGAUAACAACACUCUCCCAGACAGCCAAGCACAAGUGCUCAGUCCCCUAGACCCCACUAUCAACUCGCCCCAGCGGCUCACCUCACCUCCUCCUUUUAUUUCCUUUCUAUCCCCUUAAAAACCUCCCUCCUUUUCGAGAUUGGGGUUUCUCUGCUCUCCUGCUGUGCCAGGACCAGGAAGCCCAGGCUUGAGCUUGUAAAUAAACAACCUCUUGCUUUU